RNAcentral lists this ribosomal RNA (585 nucleotides) under Saccharomyces sp. 21-C2-P8A1. Its description in RNAcentral is "eukaryotic LSU rRNA". It matches the Rfam family "Eukaryotic large subunit ribosomal RNA", at positions 53 to 653 of the family's 3401-position model. The record is from RNAcentral. Lineage: Eukaryota; Fungi; Ascomycota; Saccharomycetes; Saccharomycetales; Saccharomycetaceae.
GAGGAAAAGAAACCAACCGGGAUUGCCUUAGUAACGGCGAGUGAAGCGGCAAAAGCUCAAAUUUGAAAUCUGGCACCUUCGGUGUCCGAGUUGUAAUUUGAAGAAGUAACUUUGGGGCUGGUCCUUGUCUAUGUUCCUUGGAACAGGACGUCAUAGAGGGUGAGAAUCCCGUGUGGCGAGGAUCCCAGUUCUUUGUAAAGUGCUUUCGACGAGUCGAGUUGUUUGGGAAUGCAGCUCUAAGUGGGUGGUAAAUUCCAUCUAAAGCUAAAUAUUGGCGAGAGACCGAUAGCGAACAAGUACAGUGAUGGAAAGAUGAAAAGAACUUUGAAAAGAGAGUGAAAAAGUACGUGAAAUUGUUGAAAGGGAAGGGCAUUUGAUCAGACAUGGUGUUUUGCGACCCUCGCUCCUUGUGGGUGGGGAUCUCGCAGCUCACUGGGCCAACAUCGGUUUUGGCGGCAGGAUAAAACUUUGGGAAUGUAACUUGUCUUCGGAGAAGUAUUAUAGCCCAAGGCAAUACUGCCAGCCGGGACCGAGGACUGCGACUUUUGUCAAGGAUGUUGGCAUAAUGGUUAUAUGCCGCCCGUC